RNAcentral lists this unclassified non-coding RNA (212 nucleotides) under fungal sp. RNAcentral describes it as "partial internal transcribed spacer region". The stretch from base 1 to 46 matches the Rfam family "Eukaryotic small subunit ribosomal RNA", at positions 1786 to 1831 of the family's 1831-position model. The record is from RNAcentral. Lineage: Eukaryota; Fungi.
AAGUCGUAACAAGGUUUCCGUAGGUGAACCUGCGGAAGGAUCAUUACCAAAUGAUACCCACUCUACGUACUGUGAACUGUACUGACAAAAGCUGUUGGCAGGGCAACCUGUCGACAGCAGCCUAUAUACAGCCAACGUCUGUGCUACUGUAGCUGAUGUAUACAAGUUUUUUAAACUUUACACAACUUUUAGCAACGGAUCUCUUGGCUCUC